AGAAAAACGAAAUAUCCAAGUAGAGGUUAUAAGAGACGGCAGAAGGGAUAAAAUUUCAAUAUACGAAAUUGUUGUUGGUGAUUUUGUUCCUCUCAGGAUAGGCGAUCAGGUUCCUGCAGAUGGAGUCUUGAUCUCUGGUCAUUCUCUGGCAAUUGAUGAGUCUAGCAUGACUGGUGAAAGCAAGAUUGUAAACAAAAAUCAAAAGGCACCUUUCUUGAUGGCUGGUUGCAAGGUAGCAGAUGGUGCUGGAACCAUGCUUGUAACUGGUGUAGGAAUCAAUACUGAAUGGGGAUU
Molecule: unclassified non-coding RNA, 294 nt
Filed under: Hevea brasiliensis (rubber tree)
Lineage: Eukaryota; Viridiplantae; Streptophyta; Magnoliopsida; Malpighiales; Euphorbiaceae
Source: RNAcentral